RNAcentral lists this ribosomal RNA (775 nucleotides) under uncultured bacterium. RNAcentral describes it as "bacterial SSU rRNA". It matches the Rfam family "Bacterial small subunit ribosomal RNA", at positions 28 to 805 of the family's 1533-position model. The record is from RNAcentral.
GAUGAACGCUGGCGGCGUGCUUAACACAUGCAAGUCGAGCGAAGCGGCUGAAUUGAUUCUUCGGAUGAUUUUCAGUUGACUGAGCGGCGGACGGGUGAGUAACGCGUGGGUGACCUGCCCCAUACCGGGGGAUAACAGCUGGAAACGGCUGCUAAUACCGCAUAAGCGCACAGAGCUGCAUGGCUCGGUGUGAAAAACUCCGGUGGUAUGGGAUGGGCCCGCGUCUGAUUAGGCAGUUGGCGGGGUAACGGCCCACCAAACCGACGAUCAGUAGCCGGCCUGAGAGGGCGACCGGCCACAUUGGGACUGAGACACGGCCCAAACUCCUACGGGAGGCAGCAGUGGGGAAUAUUGCACAAUGGGGGAAACCCUGAUGCAGCGACGCCGCGUGAGCGAAGAAGUAUUUCGGUAUGUAAAGCUCUAUCAGCAGGGAAGAUAAUGACGGUACCUGACUAAGAAGCCCCGGCUAACUACGUGCCAGCAGCCGCGGUAAUACGUAGGGGGCAAGCGUUAUCCGGAUUUACUGGGUGUAAAGGGAGCGUAGACGGCAAGGCAAGUCUGAUGUGAAAACCCAGGGCUUAACCCUGGGACUGCAUUGGAAACUGUCUGGCUCGAGUGCCGGAGAGGUAAGCGGAAUUCCUAGUGUAGCGGUGAAAUGCGUAGAUAUUAGGAAGAACACCAGUGGCGAAGGCGGCUUACUGGACGGUAACUGACGUUGAGGCUCGAAAGCGUGGGGAGCAAACAAGAUUAGAUACCCUGGUAGUCCACGCCGUAA